GGUGGACCCUGUCUCCAUCCCCUCCUAACCUCAUUUAAGGGCUGGCAGCCACAAGGAAAGGGUGCUUCUGUGGAGAUCCCUCCUUUUGGAGUGUUUAGUGAGCCCUGAUCAUUGGAUGGGUGACCACAAGUCUUCUGCAAGUGCUGAAAAGCAGUUUGCUGCCCCUGCAUCACCAGCUGUGCAGACACGUUUAGUACCUGUGCUCGACGGACGAGGCUGAUGGGAUCCGGCCCAAAGGUGUAGGUGGGAGAAUCAUUACAAGAUGAUGUGCUGGGCUCUGCUUUAGAAGCUGGGAUUUAUGUUGGAGCUCUUCCUUCUGACCUGGAGCUGCCUUGCAAGCUGCCAUUGCUCUGACUUUCUCAAUGGAACCUCAUGGGUGGUGAAGUGAGUUGAGAAAAUCCAAACCAAAACUGCUUAAAGGUAAAAAGUCAUCUGGGAACGUUGGUCAGCUGCUGAUAGUAAUUAAAUUCCAGGCUUUUUUAAUCUGAAAAUUGUAGCAAUGUAACUUUAACUUUUCAUAAGCUACGCUCUACAUGCACAUUCAUAAGCCAGUUCCCUUAAGCUCAGCUGAGAUCUCUGUAUUUUACAAGUUAUUAUGGGCAACAGAUUAAUAUUAAAAUUAAUACUGGAAGUAUUAGAAUUGUUUUUUCCUCUCUUCUGAGAAAUAAGAACACCUCUGGUUCUCCUCAUGCACGGAGGAGAACAUGUGUAAAUUCAAACACUUCAGCUGUGUGAUUGAUGUGUUUUAUCUUGGAGCUCUGUGAUCUUCUGUCUUGUCACCAUCUGCACGAAGGUUUCUUUGCAGCUGCCUGGUUUCCUUCAUCCCUGUGGGCUCUGCUGGGGGUGGUUGGAUCCCCUGCCUGGGGUCUGAG
This 872-nucleotide long non-coding RNA is filed under the name Gallus gallus (chicken). The record is from RNAcentral. Lineage: Eukaryota; Metazoa; Chordata; Aves; Galliformes; Phasianidae.